AGGACGAACGCUGGCGGCGUGCUUAACACAUGCAAGUCGAGCGGAAAGGCCCUUCGGGGUACUCGAGCGGCGAACGGGUGAGUAACACGUGAGCAACCUGCCCUUGGCUCUGGGAUAGCCUCCGGAAACGGGGAUUAAUACCGGACAUUCACUUUCUCCUGCAUGGGGGGUUGGUGGAAAGUUUUUCGGCCAGGGAGGGGCUCGCGGCCUAUCAGCUUGUUGGCGGGGUAACGGCCCACCAAGGCGACGACGGGUAGCCGGCCUGAGAGGGCGAUCGGCCACACUGGGACUGAGACACGGCCCAGACUCCUACGGGAGGCAGCAGUGGGGAAUAUUGCACAAUGGGCGCAAGCCUGAUGCAGCGACGCCGCGUGGGGGAUGAAGGCCUUCGGGUUGUAAACCCCUUCACCAGGAGCGAAUUCAGACGGUACCUGGGGAAGAAGCGCCGGCUAACUACGCGCCAGCAGCCGC
RNAcentral lists this ribosomal RNA (471 nucleotides) under uncultured bacterium. RNAcentral describes it as "SSU rRNA". It matches the Rfam family "Bacterial small subunit ribosomal RNA", at positions 26 to 518 of the family's 1533-position model. The record is from RNAcentral.